This 754-nucleotide ribosomal RNA is filed under the name Salmonella enterica subsp. enterica serovar Arechavaleta. RNAcentral's name for it is "partial 23S ribosomal RNA". It matches the Rfam family "Bacterial large subunit ribosomal RNA", at positions 788 to 1542 of the family's 2925-position model. The record is from RNAcentral. Lineage: Bacteria; Pseudomonadati; Pseudomonadota; Gammaproteobacteria; Enterobacterales; Enterobacteriaceae.
GUUGAAAAAUUAGCGGAUGACCUGUGGCUGGGGGUGAAAGGCCAAUCAAACCGGGAGAUAGCUGGUUCUCCCCGAAAGCUAUUUAGGUAGCGCCUCGUGAAUUCAUCUCCGGGGGUAGAGCACUGUUUCGGCUAGGGGGCCAUCCCGGCUUACCAACCCGAUGCAAACUGCGAAUACCGGAGAAUGUUAUCACGGGAGACACACGGCGGGUGCUAACGUCCGUCGUGAAGAGGGAAACAACCCAGACCGCCAGCUAAGGUCCCAAAGUCAUGGUUAAGUGGGAAACGAUGUGGGAAGGCCCAGACAGCCAGGAUGUUGGCUUAGAAGCAGCCAUCAUUUAAAGAAAGCGUAAUAGCUCACUGGUCGAGUCGGCCUGCGCGGAAGAUGUAACGGGGCUAAACCAUGCACCGAAGCUGCGGCAGCGACACUCAGGUGUUGUUGGGUAGGGGAGCGUUCUGUAAGCCUGCGAAGGUGGCCUGUGAGGGUUGCUGGAGGUAUCAGAAGUGCGAAUGCUGACAUAAGUAACGAUAAAGCGGGUGAAAAGCCCGCUCGCCGGAAGACCAAGGGUUCCUGUCCAACGUUAAUCGGGGCAGGGUGAGUCGACCCCUAAGGCGAGGCCGAAAGGCGUAGUCGAUGGGAAACGGGUUAAUAUUCCCGUACUUGGUGUUACUGCGAAGGGGGGACGGAGAAGGCUAUGUUGGCCGGGCGACGGUUGUCCCGGUUUAAGCGUGUAGGUGUGUGUUCCAGGUAAAUC